Molecule: non-coding RNA, 125 nt
Organism: Hordeum vulgare subsp. vulgare (domesticated barley)
Lineage: Eukaryota; Viridiplantae; Streptophyta; Magnoliopsida; Poales; Poaceae
Source: Rfam
CUUAUACUCCCUUCGUCCGGAAUUACUUGUCGCAUAAAUGGAUAAAAAUGGAUGUAUUUAGAACUAAAAUACAUCUAGAUACAUUCGUUUCUUUGACAAGUAUUUUCGGAUCGAGGGAGUAUUUA